RNAcentral lists this long non-coding RNA (226 nucleotides) under Capsicum annuum. Its description in RNAcentral is "long non-coding RNA (CANN_LNC015388)". Lineage: Eukaryota; Viridiplantae; Streptophyta; Magnoliopsida; Solanales; Solanaceae. The record is from RNAcentral.
UUACAGGCAUAUGAGUCAGAGAUUUGGGCAAAAGAAAAACACAUGCUUAUCACUUCUCGAAUUUAAUAGUAAGCAAGCACCUCAUCACAUGAGUAAGUUCAGCCACAUGACGAUAAGGAAAGGGGCGGACGAGAGUUCUAAUAAUUCUCUUCCUUCAGGUCUGUCAACGUUCCAUCUUUUUCUUACUUGAAUGAAGAAAGACAGAACCUCCCAUAUAUACAACACA